This is a non-coding RNA of Camelina sativa (false flax), 126 nucleotides long. Lineage: Eukaryota; Viridiplantae; Streptophyta; Magnoliopsida; Brassicales; Brassicaceae. The record is from RefSeq and is a predicted model, not a curated record.
UCUGCUAUGGAAUAUUUCAGUUCUCUUGGAUUCUCCACUUCCAUGACAGUUAACCCAGCUGACCUUUUACUUGACCUUGCAAACGGAAUCCCACCUGAUUCUCAGAAGGAGACCACGGAACAAGAA